Phrynosoma platyrhinos (Desert horned lizard) is the source of this 72-nucleotide non-coding RNA. The record is from the annotation of a GenBank genome assembly. Lineage: Eukaryota; Metazoa; Chordata; Lepidosauria; Squamata; Phrynosomatidae.
GACAGUGUGGUGUAGUGGUUUGAGCAUCGGACUAUGACUCUGGAGACCAGGAUUUGAAUCCCAGUUCAGCCA